UACGUAGGGGGCCAGCGUUGCUCGGAAUUACUGGGCGUAAAGGGUUCGUAGGCGGUGCGGCAAGUUUGGAGUGAAAUCUCUGGGCUUAACCCAGAGGCUGCUUCCAAAACUGCCGUGCUAGAGUGCGAGGGAGGCCAGUGGAAUUGCAGGUGUAGCGGUGAAAUGCGUAGAGAUCGGGAAGAACACCGGUGGCGAAGGCGGCCAUCUGGACCGUUACUGACGCUGAGGCGCGAAAGCGUGGGGAGCAAACGGG
This 253-nucleotide ribosomal RNA is filed under the name uncultured bacterium. RNAcentral describes it as "partial 16S ribosomal RNA". It matches the Rfam family "Bacterial small subunit ribosomal RNA", at positions 524 to 776 of the family's 1533-position model. The record is from RNAcentral.